GGGCCCGUAGCUCAGCCAGGUUGGAGCGCCCUGGGGCGAUAGCCCCGCGUACGGCUGAUAACCGGGAGGUCCCGGGUUCAAAUCCCGGCGGGCCCA
Molecule: transfer RNA, 96 nt
Filed under: Vulcanisaeta distributa DSM 14429
Lineage: Archaea; Thermoproteati; Thermoproteota; Thermoprotei; Thermoproteales; Thermoproteaceae
Rfam family: tRNA
About the family: Transfer RNA (tRNA) molecules are approximately 80 nucleotides in length. Their secondary structure includes four short double-helical elements and three loops (D, anti-codon, and T loops).
Source: Rfam by way of RNAcentral